UAACUCUUUGACAAACUUUUUUUCUAGAACAAUCAGUUAUUUUCAUACUGAAAUUUUACAUUAACAAGCUUUGUCUGUCUUAUUCGUGUAACCUUAAAUUUUUUAGAAAACUGGAACUAAAUCUCCCUAUGGUAGAGUAAAGAACCUAUAACAUGACAACAUGUAACACAAUAAGCAUUCCUCUUUUGAUGCUCACUCUACUCAUAUGCAAAGUAAGUGCGUCCUUUAUCCUCAGCGCACUCCCUUAGAAACAAUAAAAUCCCCUUCUUUUUCCAUAUAACUCACCCCUUUAUCUCUCAACAAAGGAUCAUGACAUUUCAGAAUCGUAAACCAACAGAGCUCAAAACAACAGAGCUCAAAACCCUAAAUAACAGAGCUCAAAAUCCUAAAAUACUAAACCAAAAAAAUGAAAAAAAAUCAGAAUCAUUCAUAGUAAAAAAGAAUGAAUGAAAACCCUAAUUGCAGCAACUAGGAAAUUCAACUAUGGAGAUAAAAGCAUCAAUAGAAAGGGAAAUGGAAAAGGAAUUGAACACUUACAAAUUAAUUGUUCAAUUGAUGCGAGUUAGGGUACAAACUAAUCGUUUAUUAUGACAUUUGUG
Molecule: long non-coding RNA, 599 nt
Filed under: Lathyrus oleraceus (garden pea)
Lineage: Eukaryota; Viridiplantae; Streptophyta; Magnoliopsida; Fabales; Fabaceae
Description: Pisum sativum (pea) long non-coding RNA (PSAT_LNC028123)
Source: RNAcentral